UACGGGAGGCAGCAGUGGGGAAUAUUGCACAAUGGGCGCAAGCCUGAUGCAGCCAUGCCGCGUGUAUGAAGAAGGCCUUCGGGUUGUAAAGUACUUUCAGUCGUGAGGAAGGUGUUAAGGUUAAUAACCUUAGCAAUUGACGUUAGCGACAGAGGAAGCACCGGCUAACUCCGUGCCAGCAGCCGCGGUAAUACGGAGGGUGCGAGCGUUAAUCGGAAUUACUGGGCGUAAAGGGCACGCAGGCGGUUAAUUAAGUUGGAUGUGAAAUCCCCGGGCUUAACCUGGGAAUGGCAUUCAAGACUGGUUAGCUAGAGUCUUGUAGAGGGGGUAGAAUUCCAUGUGUAGCGGUGAAAUGCGUAGAGAUGUGGAGGAAUACCGGUGGCGAAGGCGGCCCCUGGACAAAGACUGACGCUCAUGUGCGAAAGCGUGGGGAGCGAAACAGGGAUUAGAUACC
Molecule: ribosomal RNA, 454 nt
Filed under: uncultured bacterium
Lineage: Bacteria
Description: bacterial SSU rRNA
Rfam family: Bacterial small subunit ribosomal RNA
Source: RNAcentral